GCUGGGCGUGGUGGCACAUGCCUAUAAUCCCAGCUGCUUGGGAGGCUGAGGCAGGAGGAUUGUGAGUUCAAAGCCAGCUUCAGCAAUUUAGCAAGGCCCUAAGCAAUUUAGUGAGACCCUGUCUCAA
Molecule: small RNA, 127 nt
Filed under: Marmota monax (woodchuck)
Lineage: Eukaryota; Metazoa; Chordata; Mammalia; Rodentia; Sciuridae
Source: RNAcentral